UACUCCGCCCACCUAGUCAAUCAACUACUCUGGGCGGUUUGUGAAGAACGAGGUAAAACCUAGCCAAAAAAAAAGAGAGAGUGUUCCUCUGCUCCCCUUGCAAAGAGGUGGCCUUGCCUGCCUGGUGCCUGAGCGGGAAGGGAGGGAACGGGGGGGGACACACCUCAUCCAGGGCCUUUAUGACAUCCUCUGGAAUGCCAGCACAGGCCCACCUAGUCAAUCAACUACUCUGGGCGGUUUGUGAAGAACGAGGUAAAACCUAGCCAAAAAAAAAGAGAGAGUGUUCCUCUGCUCCCCUUGCAAAGAGGUGGCCUUGCCUGCCUGGUGCCUGAGCGGGAAGGGAGGGAACGGGGGGGGACACACCUCAUCCAGGGCCUUUAUGACAUCCUCUGGAAUGCCAGCACAGGACGGGGGGGGGCAUUCCAGAGGGUGUCAUAAAGGCCCUGAGGCUUGGCUGGAGUGGGGGGCUGGGCACAGGCCCUUUUGAGAUUGGUGGGGGGGGGUCCCCCCCAGGCCGGGACGAUGCCAGGAGCCGAAGAGGAGGGCUGCUACUCCUGCCUCGAAUGUUUCUGGCAGCUUCGUCUGUUCCUCUUCCCGCUGUUGGGCUUCUUCCUCGGAUCUUGUAUGUCCGAUUCCAGGGCAGAAGAGUGGCCAGAAGGGAAGAGUGCGAAUGCAGCCGGCACUGCCAGUGCUCCAGUGGACUGAGAGAGGAGUGCCAACCCUCUUUGAAGAGCCGCCGCUGACCAUGUUCCAUCCGCACCCAGCAAGCAGUUGAGGAGGAGGCCUCCCUUCUUUCCUUUCCUUUCCUCCCUCCCUUCCACUGUGAAUGUUGCCUUUUAAUGGAAGGGCAGGGUUUAAAGAUAAUGAAUAAAAUAAAAUAAAUCGUAAAUCGUAAAUCA
Molecule: long non-coding RNA, 899 nt
Filed under: Pogona vitticeps (central bearded dragon)
Lineage: Eukaryota; Metazoa; Chordata; Lepidosauria; Squamata; Agamidae
Description: lncRNA (ENSPVIG00000010001.1)
Source: RNAcentral